This 1003-nucleotide long non-coding RNA is filed under the name Anas zonorhyncha (Eastern spot-billed duck). RNAcentral describes it as "lncRNA (ENSAZOG00000009824.1)". Lineage: Eukaryota; Metazoa; Chordata; Aves; Anseriformes; Anatidae. The record is from RNAcentral.
CCCACUCUGUUUGAAAAGCAGGUGGGGGCUAAUAAAAAAGGUUUCUCAAAAUUUUAACAUGGACUGUUAUUACACAUUUCAAGCCCCCGCUCACAAGGUUUUUUAUGAUGACCAUAAAAAGGGGCUGAAAGCUCAAACUAGGCAAACAGGGAUUCUGGUGUUUUUCCAGAGUAUGAAGAGCUGGUGGGUUUUGAAAAAGAAAAUCCAUAGCCAGAUACACUGCUCAACCUCUAUGGAGAUCAGAGCAUAAAUAAAUGCGGUACAAAAUGUUGUUUCUUUGUCUGCACGGGUAAUUUGUUUUUCUGUAACUGUCUGGAAUGAAGGACAAUUUCUGCAGGAGACAAGACCUUUGGUUACUUGCCUCUGUUUUAAUUCAGGUAGGAGGACAGAACCAUGGUGUGCUGGUAGCUCAGAGACCUGCAAAAAAUCUUUGUUCUCCAUGGCUGCACCUUGCUUAAGAUCUUGAAGGCUAUUAAGAGUACUUGAAAAAUAAUUUAUGAGUCAUACAGAGAUGACCAUGAGCAGAGUGAAGUUCAAACAAUUGUCACCCAGCUCAGAAGCUAAAACUGGCUCAACCUAGGAUUGUUGGUUUGGGGCUUUUUUUGUUUGUUUUUUUGUUUGGUUAGUUGGUUGGUUUGGUUGGGUUUGGUUUUUUAAAUAAACUUGUAUAGGAAUAUCAUAUCACGUCACAACUGAAAAAAAAGGAAAACUAAAUCUUCAAAUUUAACAACUUUAAAACCAAUAUCCAAGUUAUAUUUAAUACAGUGGAACUCAAAACAAAUGAAGAAUGCCUUCAGCCCUGAACAAAGACCAGCUGAAAAUGAAAAUCACCUGAUGAAAGAAUAAAGUUAUUCUUUCUUAAUGCAGCAGAAAUUGUUGAUUCAACUGUUGGAACAGCAUAAAGCGAAAUAGAAAGUAUUUGUAGACAAGAGAACAGAACCUAAUGGAUAUUUUCAGUAAGCCUAGAAACUCUGUUACCACUACAGUGUAAAAAUAAUUGUUC